RNAcentral lists this ribosomal RNA (468 nucleotides) under uncultured bacterium. RNAcentral's name for it is "partial 16S ribosomal RNA". It matches the Rfam family "Bacterial small subunit ribosomal RNA", at positions 28 to 507 of the family's 1533-position model. The record is from RNAcentral.
GACGAACGCUGGCGGCGUGCUUAACACAUGCAAGUCGAACGGAAAGGCCCUGCUUUUGUGGGGUGCUCGAGUGGCGAACGGGUGAGUAACACGUGAGUAACCUGCCCUUGACUUUGGGAUAACUUCAGGAAACUGGGGCUAAUACCGGAUAGGAGCUCCUGCUGCAUGGUGGGGGUUGGAAAGUUUCGGCGGUUGGGGAUGGACUCGCGGCUUAUCAGCUUGUUGGUGGGGUAGUGGCUUACCAAGGCUUUGACGGGUAGCCGGCCUGAGAGGGUGACCGGCCACAUGGGGACUGAGAGACGGCCCAGACUCCUACGGGAGGCAGCAGUGGGGAAUAUUGCACAGUGGGCGGAAGCCUGAUGCGGCGGCGCCGCGUGCGGGAUGACGGCCUGCGGGUUGUAAACCGCCUUCGCCUGUGACGAAGCGUGAGUGACGGUAAUGGGUAAAGAAGCACCGGCUAACUACGUG